Molecule: ribosomal RNA, 469 nt
Filed under: uncultured Alphaproteobacteria bacterium
Lineage: Bacteria; Pseudomonadati; Pseudomonadota; Alphaproteobacteria
Description: bacterial SSU rRNA
Rfam family: Bacterial small subunit ribosomal RNA
Source: RNAcentral
GAGUUUGAUCGUGGCUCAGAACGAACGCUGGCGGCAGGCCUAACACAUGCAAGUCGAGCGCCCUCGCAAGAGGGAGCGGCGGACGGGUGAGUAACGCGUGGGAAUUUUCCUCAAGGUACGGAACAACUCAGGGAAACUUGGGCUAAUACCGUAUGAUGUCUAGCGACCAAAGAUUUAUCGCCUUGGGAUAAGCCCGCGUCAGAUUAGGUAGUUGGUGGGGUAACGGCCUACCAAGCCUGCGAUCUGUAGCUGGUCUGAGAGGACGAUCAGCCACAUUGGGACUGAGACACGGCCCAAACUCCUACGGGAGGCAGCAGUGGGGAAUCUUGCGCAAUGGGCGAAAGCCUGACGCAGCCAUGCCGCGUGAAUGAUGAAGGUCUUAGGAUUGUAAAGUUCUUUCGCCCGUGACGAUGAUGACGGUAACGGGAGAAGAAGCCCCGGCUAACUUCGUGCCAGCAGCCGCAGUAAC